CUCUCCCACAAUUUUCUCUACCAAAAAUUUCAAAAAUGGAACAGUUGCAGGCAAGCUCUGCUUUCGUGGUAAGAGAGAAUAAUCAAUUCUUCUGGGUUCUGAAACUUUUAUCUGUCAGGGAUCCAUGGUUUGAAGUACAAACGAGACGAGGCAGUUCGAGGAUGACGAUUCGCAAUAUCCUCAGAGGCAUUAAUAAUUUAUUCAUCGGUCUUUGCUGAUCAAUUAUUGUUAAUUCAUACGAUGCUCCGUUUUCUUGUUAUCAUGUCGAAUGGCUUUUGAAUGCAGGGCACGCUGUAUGGUAAGCAAUGAGCUGUGUUUCUCUUUUGGCCCCGAGGAUCAGAAUUAAGGAGUUCCGAUGAUCAUUAAGAAUUAAAAUUGACUCCAGAAGAUGUGAUUGAAAUCUAAGUAUCACGGCGGCCCCAUUUUCGACGUAUGCGGUCAUGUUCAUGGGCUCGAAGGGUUCUGGUUGGAAACAUACACAAAACUAAUCAAAGUCAGAAAGAAAAAAAGUGGAAGAGGGAUAUAUAUACCACAUACGAUGCCCUAGAAGAUGAUAUAUAUAUAUAUAUAUAUAUAUAUACGAUGAUGAUGAUGAUGAUGAUGGUCGGUGAGCAAAAAGGGCACUGGGGUACAGAAUGCAUGGUGGCGGGCAAAAGCUGGUGCGUGUCGGCUUGCAAUGGGUGGUUCCCCUUUGCGAGUCGGCGGGAUAUAUAUCGUCAUAUACAUAUGGACUUUGUCAAAAUUCAUUUUAUUUUUUUGGGGAAGAAAACUAUGUAUCAAUUCCGAUUGAUCCAUGACUUUGUUCAUUGGAAUCGUAGCUAGUCUCGAUCGAUGCAGCAUAUAUCCAUCGAAUCUUAGGCCCUCUUCCACACGGCACAUCUAUUGCGGAGUUUUUUGUUAUGUAUCCAAGUGGAAUAUCAUAGCUCCCAUAAAUAGAAUUCUUUUUUUUUUUCGGUAA
Non-coding RNA from Punica granatum (pomegranate), 958 nucleotides. Lineage: Eukaryota; Viridiplantae; Streptophyta; Magnoliopsida; Myrtales; Lythraceae. The record is from RefSeq and is a predicted model, not a curated record.